GUGUGUUCCAGGUAAAUCCGGUUCACUUUAACACUGAGGCGUGAUGACGAGGCACUACGGUGCUGAAGCAACAAAUGCCCUGCUUCCAGGAAAAGCCUCUAAGCAUCAGGUAACAUCAAAUCGUACCCCAAACCGACACAGGUGGUCAGGUAGAGAAUACCAAGGCGCUUGAGAGAACUCGGGUGAAGGAACUAGGCAAAAUGGUGCCGUAACUUCGGGAGAAGGCACGCUGACACGUAGGUGAAGUGAUUUACUCAUGGAGCUGAAGUCAGUCGAAGAUACCAGCUGGCUGCAACUGUUUAUUAAAAACACAGCACUGUGCAAACACGAAAGUGGACGUAUACGGUGUGACGCCUGCCCGGUGCCGGAAGGUUAAUUGAUGGGGUCAGCGCAAGCGAAGCUCCUGAUCGAAGCCCCGGUAAACGGCGGCCGUAACUAUAACGGUCCUAAGGUAGCGAAAUUCCUUGUCGGGUAAGUUCCGACCUGCACGAAUGGCGUAAUGAUGGCCAGGCUGUCUCCACCCGAGACUCAGUGAAAUUGAACUCGCUGUGAAGAUGCAGUGUACCCGCGGCAAGACGGAAAGACCCCGUGAACCUUUACUAUAGCUUGACACUGAACAUUGAGCCUUGAUGUGUAGGAUAGGUGGGAGGCUUUGAAGUGUGGACGCCAGUCUGCAUGGAGCCGGCCUUGAAAUACCACCCUUUAAUGUUUGAUGUUCUAACGUGGACCCGUGAUCCGGGUUGCGGACAGUGUCUGGUGGGUAGUUUGACUGGGGCGGUCUCCUCCUAAAGAGUAACGGAGGAGCACGAAGGUUGGCUAAUCCUGGUCGGACAUCAGGAGGUUAGUGCAAUGGCAUAAGCCAGCUUGACUGCGAGCGUGACGGCGCGAGCAGGUGCGAAAGCAGGUCAUAGUGAUCCGGUGGUUCUGAAUGGAAGGGCCAUCGCUCAACGGAUAAAAGGUACUCCGGGGAUAACAGGCUGAUACCGCCCAAGAGUUCAUAUCGACGGCGGUGUUUGGCACCUCGAUGUCGGCUCAUCACAUCCUGGGGCUGAAGUAGGUCCCAAGGGUAUGGCUGUUCGCCAUUUAAAGUGGUACGCGAGCUGGGUUUAGAACGUCGUGAGACAGUUCGGUCCCUAUCUGCCGUGGGCGCUGGAGAACUGAGGGGGGCUGCUCCUAGUACGAGAGGACCGGAGUGGACGCAUCACUGGUGUUCGGGUUGUCAUGCCAAUGGCACUGCCCGGUAGCUAAAUGCGGAAGAGAUAAGUGCUGAAAGCAUCUAAGCACGAAACUUGCCCCGAGAUGAGUUCUCCCUGAGACUUUAGGUCUCCUGAAGGAACGUUGAAGACGACGACGUUGAUAGGCCGGGUGUGUAAGCGCAGCGAUGCGUUGAGCUAACCGGUA
This 1401-nucleotide ribosomal RNA is filed under the name Salmonella enterica subsp. enterica serovar Javiana. Its description in RNAcentral is "partial 23S ribosomal RNA". It matches the Rfam family "Bacterial large subunit ribosomal RNA", at positions 1525 to 2900 of the family's 2925-position model. The record is from RNAcentral. Lineage: Bacteria; Pseudomonadati; Pseudomonadota; Gammaproteobacteria; Enterobacterales; Enterobacteriaceae.